Molecule: long non-coding RNA, 645 nt
Filed under: Cricetulus griseus (Chinese hamster)
Lineage: Eukaryota; Metazoa; Chordata; Mammalia; Rodentia; Cricetidae
Description: lncRNA (ENSCGRG00015041152.1)
Source: RNAcentral
CGCUCGCUCGCCCGCCCGCCGCUCGUUCGCGCGGGCCGGAGGCUUCCCGCCUGCGCUCCGGGUCGGAGCCACUCCGGCGCGUGCGCGCGUGGUCUCGGGCCGACCCGAGUGGCCGGGUUCCCUCGGCUCCAGGCCCCCCGCCGCCCCUCCCGCCUCCCAGCCAACCGGUUCCGUUCCUCCCUUUCCUCACGGAAUGGGGCCGGCGCUGCUCGGGGUCGCGCGCCCUGGACCCGGCUCGCGCUCGGUCUCGCGCUGUCAGCCUCUGCCUGGCUCGCGCCGCCUUGCGCUUUCCCUCAGUCAGUGGCGCCGAAGGCUCCGUUAAGCAGCGGCCGCGGUUCCUGUUUCCGUUUCUUCCUCUCCCUUCAGUCGGGGAGUAGCAUCCUCCACUCCGCCACCCCUCCCACUCGCCCGGCGCGGCCAGCUGCAGUGGCUGUGGCGACGGGGGACGGCGCCGACCGCCUCGCUCCCGCCUCGGGUUGCUGCUCUGGCUUAGGCCAUCUGUGACCCUGGUGGUGUUUUCAUUCACUAUAAGUCCUUCCCAUCUUUAUUAACUGAGCAAGUUCAGGAGGGGUUCUUAACCUGUGGGUAGUGAUCCUUUUGAGAUUGAAUGACCCUUUCACAGGGGUUGCCUAAGUCCAUCAGAAA